Molecule: long non-coding RNA, 1944 nt
Organism: Alosa sapidissima (American shad)
Lineage: Eukaryota; Metazoa; Chordata; Actinopteri; Clupeiformes; Clupeidae
Exons: 3
Source: RefSeq, a predicted model, not a curated record
UUUUUCUCCUCUCCAACCCCAAAUCCAGCUGGAAGAGGUUAAUUAUUUCUCCAGGUUGCCAAACUGGACAGGCAUAAUGUCCAAGUACUCUAUACACUGCCUUUGAGAUUUCCAGUUUCCCCUGCAAUAAUUACACUCAUGAAGGACCUGAUCUAAACAGAGAGAGGCAUUCAGUUGUGCUAUGAAAGAAAUAUUUACCAUGUAUUCACCUACAUCUUUAAGUACAUUGUCUAAUUGCGCUUAUGUGUGUGGAUGUCUUUAUGUUCGUCAAAAUGUGUAUGUUCUGUGUGUGUGUUUGUAUGUGUGUGUGUGUGUGUGUGUGUGUGUGUGUUUUUGAGACUCUGUUUGUGUCUAAUGUGGUGGGGUGGUGGUAGUGUAGUGGUUAAGACACUUGGCUAGUGUACAGUAGGCUAAAACGUUGUGGGUUCAAUUCCUGGCUUCCACCGUUGUGCCCUUGAGCAAGGCACUUAACCCCAAGUUGCUCUGGAGACAGUGUAGUCCCGCGUAGCAUAGUUGACAUAUGUAAGUCACUUUGGACAACAGUGUCUGCUAAAUGAAUACAUGUAAGUUUAAAUCUUUUGAAGUUCUAGUCCUACAUUUUUUACCCCCAGAUUGGAAAACUAAUCAGCCUGUAACUGUGGUCACAUUGUACAGACCCCCUGGCCCCUACACCGAAUUCUUAGAAGAAUUUUCUGAUUUCUUUUCCACUUUAACCAUCCAAACUGAAAAAAUACUUAUAUUGAGUGAUUUCAAUAUUCAUAUGGAUAAUGUGAAUGAUUGUCUCACAAUUGCAUUUCAAUCCCUAAUUGAACAUGUUGGGUUCUGUCAAAAUGUUAAUUCACCCACACACCGAGAUAACCAUACUAUUGAUCUAGUCUUGUCAUACGGCAUAAGCAUAGAGCAGUUAACAGUUCUGCCACAACACCCGACCUUAACUGACCACCAUCUAAUUACUUUUACAAUGACAUUACAAUAUGCAGUACCCAAUUUAGCUGAAUACUACAGCCGCGGCCUAUCUGAAAAAACGAAUGCAGACUUUCUAGAAAAAAUCUCGUUUACGUUUGCCCCCUUCCGGACCCAUGUGGUAUCAGAAGGCCCUUUCCUUAAUCCAGCCGAGGUCGACUGAUAAUGUAAUGAACUCAUUACGCUCAACCCUUGAUUCAGUAGCACCACUAAAAAAGAGAGUAAGGAAACAAGUAAGGCGUGCUCCAUGGUACACCACACAGACAAAAACCCUCAAACAAGCAGCACGCAAACUUGAACAAAAAUGGCGUUUUACUAAAUUGGAAGUCUUCCGCCAAGCAUGGAAAGAUAGCCUUAUCACCUACAAAAAAGCACUCAACGAGGCUAAGUCAAGCUACUAUUCCUUGCUGAUCGAAGAAAACAAAAAUAAUACAAAAUUUCUCUUUACCACAAUUUCCCGCCUGACGAAGAGCCACACUGAAGUAACCGAAUCUAUCCCUAUAUGCCUAAACAGUAAUGAUUUCAUGACAUUUUUCAAUGACAAAAUUGAAACAAUUAGAGAUAAGAUUUAUAACCAAUCAGUCUCACCAGAUAUUCGUACUCCAUUGCUGAACGGUAGCGAAAACAUAAUUGAAUCACAGAUGAGACAAACAACUUUGAUUUAAUUUACACCGAUCGACAUAUUAGACCUCACUUCCACAAUUUCCUCAUCAAAAUCUACAACUAGUCUACUAGAUCCUAUCCCUACUCAUCUUCUGAAAUCUGCUCUCCCUUUCUUGGAUAAUGCUUUGCUCCAGAUCAUAAAUAACUCACUGCUGUUAGUGCUGUUUAAGUUAUCUGUUAUUAAGCCAUCCCUCAAAAAACCUACCCUUGACCCUAACAGCCUGGCCAACUAUAGGCCUAUAUCUAAUCUCCCUUUUCUGUCGAAAAUACUAGAAGAAAAUAGUGUCCAAACAAAUUAGAGGGAUAAGAUUUAUAUCA